RNAcentral lists this ribosomal RNA (1824 nucleotides) under Salmonella enterica. RNAcentral describes it as "partial 23S ribosomal RNA". It matches the Rfam family "Bacterial large subunit ribosomal RNA", at positions 1 to 1757 of the family's 2925-position model. The record is from RNAcentral. Lineage: Bacteria; Pseudomonadati; Pseudomonadota; Gammaproteobacteria; Enterobacterales; Enterobacteriaceae.
GGGUUGUGAGGUUAAGCGACUAAGCGUACACGGUGGAUGCCCUGGCAGUCAGAGGCGAUGAAGGACGUGCUAAUCUGCGAUAAGCGCCGGUAAGGUGAUAUGAACCGUUAUAACCGGCGAUUUCCGAAUGGGGAAACCCAGUGUGACUCGUCACACUAUCAUUAACUGAAUCCAUAGGUUAAUGAGGCGAACCGGGGGAACUGAAACAUCUAAGUACCCCGAGGAAAAGAAAUCAACCGAGAUUCCCCCAGUAGCGGCGAGCGAACGGGGAGGAGCCCAGAGCCUGAAUCAGCAUGUGUGUUAGUGGAAGCGUCUGGAAAGGCGCGCGAUACAGGGUGACAGCCCCGUACACAAAAGCGCAUGUGCUGUGAGCUCGAUGAGUAGGGCGGGACACGUGGUAUCCUGUCUGAAUAUGGGGGGACCAUCCUCCAAGGCUAAAUACUCCUGACUGACCGAUAGUGAACCAGUACCGUGAGGGAAAGGCGAAAAGAACCCCGGCGAGGGGAGUGAAAAAGAACCUGAAACCGUGUACGUACAAGCAGUGGGAGCCCCACCACUAAGCCAGUGGUGAACUCCACAUACGCAUCCUUUGCUGAGGAUACGGUUAACGGAGCGAAAGCGACGUUCAACCGCAAAAGAAGCAGAGGGGGCUUAGUGGUGGGGUGACUGCGUACCUUUUGUAUAAUGGGUCAGCGACUUAUAUUCUGUAGCAAGGUUAACCGAAUAGGGGAGCCGGAGGGAAACCGAGUCUUAAUUGGGCGUUAAGUUGCAGGGUAUAGACCCGAAACCCGGUGAUCUAGCCAUGGGCAGGUUGAAGGUUGGGUAACACUAACUGGAGGACCGAACCGACUAAUGUUGAAAAAUUAGCGGAUGACCUGUGGCUGGGGGUGAAAGGCCAAUCAAACCGGGAGAUAGCUGGUUCUCCCCGAAAGCUAUUUAGGUAGCGCCUCGUGAAUUCAUCUCCGGGGGUAGAGCACUGUUUCGGCUAGGGGGCCAUCCCGGCUUACCAACCCGAUGCAAACUGCGAAUACCGGAGAAUGUUAUCACGGGAGACACACGGCGGGUGCUAACGUCCGUCGUGAAGAGGGAAACAACCCAGACCGCCAGCUAAGGUCCCAAAGUCAUGGUUAAGUGGGAAACGAUGUGGGAAGGCCCAGACAGCCAGGAUGUUGGCUUAGAAGCAGCCAUCAUUUAAAGAAAGCGUAAUAGCUCACUGGUCGAGUCGGCCUGCGCGGAAGAUGUAACGGGGCUAAACCAUGCACCGAAGCUGCGGCAGCGACACUCAGGUGUUGUUGGGUAGGGGAGCGUUCUGUAAGCCUGCGAAGGUGGCCUGUGAGGGUUGCUGGAGGUAUCAGAAGUGCGAAUGCUGACAUAAGUAACGAUAAAGCGGGUGAAAAGCCCGCUCGCCGGAAGACCAAGGGUUCCUGUCCAACGUUAAUCGGGGCAGGGUGAGUCGACCCCUAAGGCGAGGCCGAAAGGCGUAGUCGAUGGGAAACGGGUUAAUAUUCCCGUACUUGGUGUUACUGCGAAGGGGGGACGGAGAAGGCUAUGUUGGCCGGGCGACGGUUGUCCCGGUUUAAGCGUGUAGGCUGGUUUUCCAGGCAAAUCCGGAAAAUCAAGGCUGAGGCGUGACGACGAGGCACUACGGUGCUGAAGCAACAAAUGCCCUGCUUCCAGGAAAAGCCUCUAAGCAUCAGGUAACAUCAAAUCGUACCCCAAACCGACACAGGUGGUCAGGUAGAGAAUACCAAGGCGCUUGAGAGAACUCGGGUGAAGGAACUAGGCAAAAUGGUGCCGUAACUUCGGGAGAAGGCACGCUGACAC